GGAAUAUUCAGGGCGUACAGACCGAAGGAUUUUUGUGUACUGAGAGAGUUACAAGAGGAAAUUGGUCAUCGCGCGUCAUCUUGGUGGUGGUGAUUCAGGAAGCUGUGAUGGGGGGUCUGCAAGGCACGUGGCUGCCGCCGGCGCUGAGGUUUCUGCUCACUUCUCAGAGGGCGGGCUGUCUUCUAAAAAUUAACGCUCCCUCCACUGCCAGUGAUUCUUCUGCAGUGAGUCACUUCCAGAAAUGAAUAGCCACGGUUUUUUUUUGGAAUGAAUGUUGUGAAAUCCCUCGUUUAUAAUGGCAGGUUUUCAGUUGGUGGUUUUAUCAGAGAGAAUGUCUCAAGAUCAAAACGAAACCUCCUCUUUAAAAGGAAAGAAAGUACUCUCGAUACAGAAAGCAAAAGUACUUCCAGUCUCCUCCUGACGCGCUGUCGCGGAAGGUCUGUGUGCCUGCGUGUGGCGACACACGCCCGAGUAUUAGUACUUGCCUACACUGUAGGAGUCCUUGGAAUUACGGAUUCGUUGCUAGUAGCUGAUUGAUCUCCUGUGAAGAAGGUCGCUAACUACAAGAAAUGUUACGUGUGGUGAGUAGGUGGUGGAUUCUGAAGAUUGUUGCUAACCCAGGGCUCAUCCUCUUUUGAGUCAUGGAUUCAGAGGACUGCUAGCAAGCUCUUAAAUACUUCUGCUUUGUAUGAUUUAGUGGAUGGAACUGCAGGACUCAUAGAAGCCUGUGAAAGGUUUUCAGAACAUGGAUUAAUUGAAUAAUCGUUGAAUCUUUUGAAUAUACUAGUCCCUUUGAGGAAGAAAGGCUAUUUUACUGACGGAAGCCAUUUGUAAGGGGCUUUUAAAAGUUUAAAAAGCCCAGUUACUGCAGUUACUGCCCAUCUGUAUUUAUUUUAACUAUCACUCCCAUUUUCUUGUGUGAAGGAAAUGACUAUAUGGUUUCAACAAAGAAAAAGUUUUGCCAACUCUUUUUAACUGAAGAAACUUCAUCCACGUGUUACUCCUAACUGGAUUUUUGUCUUCCUGACUAUCUGCAAGGGGAAACUACCCCAUGAAGGAUACUAACCCUUCUGGCAGUAUCUGUGAUGUGUCUCAUUCAGAACCCAGUGGGCUCUCCACAGAUGAUUGGCAGUACUUUUAUCUAGAGGGGAAAGAGAAGGAAUCCAGUUACUGGAAACAGUGAGUGCAGCUUCAGAAAUUGUUGUCUCUCCCGAGUGGAGAAGUUGUUUGACCUCCUGACUCAUUUCAUAGGAAUUGGAGAAAACAACCUAGUGUGGUUUUCAUUGUUAGUCCUGGAGGAUUCCAAAAUCUGUGUGUCUGCAAAUGAGAUGAGCUGGAGAAAGGUAGUGUUGGCACUUGCUGUUUCUACUUGCCUGCUCUCCUAAUGGAAUUCAGUCCCUUGCCUCCAGACAAGUCCAGCCUGUUCCUGGGGAUCCCUUGUGUGGCCUUUCAGUGGUUCCAGCACCAGUCUCAGAAGAUCCCAAAGGCCCACUUCACUGCCCCAGACUCCAUCUCUGCCUGCGCUGCUCUGUCUUCCUCGUCUGUUCACCUGCUAAUACCUGUGCAUUCUGAAGAGUCGUCUCAGGUAUCACCUCCUCCACGGAGCCCUCUGCCUUAGGUUAGAUGAUGUGAUGUGAUGUAAUUAGAGGGCGGAGGGAAGUGGGGAAAACGUGAGCACGCUGUGUUAGAACCAGGUCUGUUCUUCCUCUCCCACAAGACGCAAGCUACCUGAGGGGGAGACUUUCCCUCUGUGUCACCAUGUCUGGCUGUCACUGUUGUCACCACUUACAGAAGGAAUCAGGGGAGGCAGAAUAAAAGCAGGCCAGGACCCAGGUCACCGACUUCCUCCUGGGCCUGGCGGAGCUUGGGAAAGAGCUCAGCUAAGCUCCAGGCGGAGUGAAGGCGCAGCAGUCAGGGUGGGUGGAAGGAAGCCUUGCCUCACAGAGCAGCUGGCUAAACUCUCCUUCCUGCCCGCCCUCCAGAUUCCACAGCAGGACCCACCCACCUGUACUGCACACCCUUUUUGACACGUACCCUGAGUACUAUCCAGAGUCUAGGACUCAAGAAUUAUUUCCUGAUGGACUUAAUUAUUUAGCAGGCGAUGUGGCAAAAGCACAUCCUGGAGUGUCUGUUAAAUCAACUGUACUUCUAUUAAAAAAAAAAGACCAGGGAAGGAAAAAAAAAAAAGAUGUGUGUUACUGUCUCUCUGUGGGUAUGAGGCGUUGCGCUGGCCACUGUGGGCAGUCAGAGGGAAGGCCUUCUGGGCCUGCAUGGGGCUGACUGUCCAGCUGGGGAGAGAAUGAGCAUGCAGGCCACGUCGGGGACAAGAUAGCCGGGGUGACCAUGUCACAGGGCAGCAUGUGAUUAAUUGCCAAACAAAUGGCUCAAGAACAUGGUGGUGAUUGAACAUGGUAUGUGCAAGUGCCCCACCCCUCAGCACUUCCGAGCCCAGUGGGCCCUGCCUUCUGCCUCUCUCACCCAGGAGUAACCCCAUUGAUGCGUCUCAUACAGCAUAGGUACUUAGCCAGUCAGGCCAAGUCCUUCAAGCUCAGAUCCCGGCCCGCCUCCCGGCCCCCAGAGCCUCCUACCCUUGAACUCAAAGCUGCAGAGAUGCUCAAGAGAACGUGCCAUCUUGUUUCUGAACAACCCACCUCCCUCCCUUGUCCAACCUUGUCCCUCCUUUAAAACCCUCCUCUUCCUUUAAAACCCAGACUAGAGUUCCUCCAUAAAGCCUGCUGAGCCCCUUGCGUGUGCUGGAUGGCAAUGCGCACGUGAGUCUGUCCUGCGGCAGGAGGAGGGAGGGAGGUAAACUCCUGCCGCAGGGUCCUAUCUCUUCUCCUCACACUCUGAGCACGUGUCCCGUGUUUGUCAUUGACCAAAACACAUUAGCACUGAGCACGCAUCGGUUGGUUCUGCAGUUGAGACCUGCGUGCUGGUGAGUGCAGAAGGUGACAUGGCCAAGCGGUCCAGGGAGGCUGCACACAGUAGGGAAGGUUGUGCACCUUAAAGGUUCCGUUCAGAGAACAGGCAGAGGGCGAGGAGAAUCUGAGGUGGGAUAGCCCUGUGUCUGACUGCUGACAGCCCAAUCGGCCUCUCAAAACAGAAGCACAGAGGAGAGGGAGCGAGCCUGCAGGGCAGAGUGGUGGGGGUGGCUUAUUUUAGCUGGAGCAGAGGGUUUACCUAAAGGCAGGCAGGAGGCUGCCCUGGAGGAAGGGUGGGUGUAAGUGAUGGAAGGUGAUGGGAAGACCUCAAAUGCAGUGGGGUAUCUUGCAGCAGUGGGCACCCUUUGUUACCUGUGAAAACCAUGGUGAUCUAACCAAAGUGGUGUUGAAAGUGGGAGCUGCCCCAUGGCCCUUCCUUCAUUUUAACACCACGGUCCAAGGCCCACCAUCUCGGUGCUGCCCCAGACGCUCAGCACCCACGUGCGAAGCCCCUACACACACACACAGCCUCACCUGGAAACGCUGGGCUUUCUGUAAACAAAGGCUCUGCUUCCGGCACUGCCCUUGACCUGGCUCUGAGCUGUUGAUUCUUUGAGUCCAUUCAGCUCUGCCCUGUCCCUGUACCCUCGUGACUGGCAGUGACCCGGAAGGUGGCAGCGCCCCCGCAGCAGGUGGCCUCCAGAGCUGAGUCACCGCCCUGGGAACAGUGCCCUGGCGAGGCCGGCCCAGGCAAACCGGGAGGUCUCCACCUCGCCCAGCUCUGCAGGGCUCUCAGGCACCGUCGGUGCUCCCGAGAAGGGGGUCCUUUGUGCAUCCUGAGUGUCAUCAAGCUGAUAGGAAAAGUGAAGUAGAGGCCACGGAAGACCAGAAAGGAAACUGUCCUGAUGGUCGUUUCUGGCUGGUGUCUUUGGCAAAGCACAAAGGGUUUUUCUCAACAGUUACAGGGGCUGUGGUAGUUUUAAUUGAACAGACGCAAAGUAUCCAUUGAUGGAUAUCUUUAAGAAUGGAAUGAAGAGGUUUUGAAAAUGUUGGCUUAAGAUUCUGUUUGACCUUGUACAGUAAGAGAGCUCAAGGAACAAAAUGACAUGGAGCCAUAGGGUGCCUAAGCUGCCAGUAUCCUUAGAAAUGAGCAAACGAGGUUUAGGGUUUCUUUUUUUUUUUAAGUUUUCUAUAUGAUUCAUAGAUAUUCUGGUGGAUGUUGUUGUUAUGGUGCUUUCAUUUCAUCCCAGAGAAGAUAAAAAUGCAGUGUUACUCUUGAAAGGAAGGGUUUUUUGUUUUUUGUUUUUUUAGUCUGACUUGUUUACUACAACCAAUGAAUAGAGAUGACCUCAGUCUAAAAAAACCAAGUUAACCAUAAUCUCACUCCUUGCCUGGCAAAAUAAGCCUUUAUCAAGUAGCAAGAGAAGUGCAAGUCUGACCACCAAGUCGUCAUUUCAGCGGAUUAGAUUUUCCAAAAGACAAAAACAGAAGGCUCUCUACGUGUUCACAGCCGAACAGUGGCUCUUGGGAAAUGCUCCCAGCUUACUCAGUUCCUACAAGGCCACAAGUCUGGUGACAAUUAAUCAGACAGCUGACCGAAUGCAAAAGCCAUACACGGUUAACUAUGCUGUGACCACUGAGCUUUCACAGUCAGAGACCACACUCUGGCUUUCUGAGUAUGCAGUUCUUUAACUUAAAAGGCUUCAUUUUUUACACUUUACACAUCGUGAGCCUAGUUAUUCUCUACUGCUGAAGUGUCCCUGAAGGUAGAAUCCCAGUCAUUUUCUUGGGCAGAUUGUCUUGAGCACUGGGUGUAUUUCCUUGCUCUGACAAGCCUGGGACAGUUUUCAGCAAGGCCAUGGAACUCACUACUUAGUUGCCAAAGAGGCUGUGAGCUGUGACUAGGAAGUUGGGUUUUCUCUAUUGUUUUAUUUUCUGUGAACCACACAAAAAAAUAUGGACAGUCAAAAGUGUUCCCAGUUUCUCUGAGGCAAGAAGAACUGAGGCGAAUUCUCCUAGAAGCCAGAACCAUGUCCUGAUUCCUACAGCCUCAAUAAAGGCCAAAUCAAAACAGAUUUGAAAGCUAGCGGCCAGUUGAUUGUAGGAUCCAUUCCAGCCAAAAAGAAUCUCUAGACUCACUGGAUUGGGGCAUGUGGUUUAGGGGGAGGAUUUUUUAAUAAGACCGCAGCUUUAUUCUUUAUUUUUUGACCAGUCUGGAGGGAGAACCAAUCUGUUUUGUGGGUAGAGAUUGCAAAAAAAAAAAAAAAAAAAAAGGCAGUGCCUUUCUGGUGACUGUACAGAAAGGUUAAUGAGCACUGGCCCCAAGCGCGGCCUGCCCGCCCUUAAGGAAGCCUGGAGCAUCAGAGUCAGAAGGCUCCACAGAAGCACUCAGGGCCCGAGGAGUUAAAAAGGCAGAGACAGCCAGUCAGCAAGUGCCCGCCUAGGCACGGAUUUGUUUAUCCUGCCCUUCUGAAGUCAGAGCCAACAUUCUUCAUGGUUUUGGAUGAUUCAGAAUGCUUCUCUCUUGGCAGGGCCACUGUGCACACAGGGGCUUACGACUGAAGCCCCUUAGGUGUGGGCCAGGGCAGAGACCCACCUCACACUUGAUGUCACAGCUUAGAAUCCUCUUAUAUUAGAGCAGCAGGGAAACUGUCACAUACAGCUGCCUGUCUCAGAGGUGAAGAGACUGAACCCGGGGCCCGGGGCGUGCCAGAGGUCACUGCGUGGGAAGGCAAGGCCAGCGAGAGCCAGGCCACCCUCCUCCCACCACACAGCUCCCGUCCAAGCCCGGUGGGAGAGGCCGCUGCCCUUUGAGGAAUGCUUAGAAAAGGACUUAGGUCAGAAAGAAGAACCUCAUUUUUACAAAGUGAAACAAGUCAUUUACUUGUCACAGGCAGCUUUCCCCAAACCUCCUCUGUCCAUGUGGUGAAUGUAUUAUCUCCUGGACUUCCAAAAAUAAAAAUAAUAGCAUUGCUGUCUACGGGCCAAAGUGGGAGACUUGAAUAUACCCGCCACUGCCCCCUGCCACUUCACUUUUUCUUUUUCUGGAUGAGAAUUAACUUAUUUCACGGCUAGUUCUUAAUAAAACAAACGUUGACUCCUUCCCACAGGAGACAGAAUUGAGCAAUGUUCUCUGAGAACACGCUGUGCUCCUUGGAGCCCUGAGUGAAUGUGAUGUUUAGAAGAUGCUCUAGAAGCUUGGAAGUGCCUCUUGGGAAUAGAGUGAAGGGGGUGGAGACGGGUAGUGAAGCCACCGCGGCUGCCCCAGAGGAGCAGUGACUCACCCCGCCUGCCUGGCCGGGGACUUCAGGCCUUGAGACGCCCACACAGGCAAGGACUCAGUUCCCCUUGAGCCCCGACAUGAACCUGUGACCUUUAAUGGACGCACAGGCCAUCUCAGCGUCCACAGGAACCACAGAGAAGGACGCAUCAGGACCCUGGCUCUCCACCAGCAGCCUCCCCGAGCCCCUAGGCAGACGGCGCUGAGAGUAUCUGUGUAAGGACAGCACCCUGAACUAAGAAAUGGAGCCACUUACCCGAGGAGGAAAAGCCACAGGAAGAUUUCCGCCCGAGGCCUCCUGGGGGCAGGUGCCCCUCUAGGUGGCCCGCAAGCAGCCGUCACAUCACGUAUGACUUUGUUAACAGCUCGGCCAUGGCAUUACCAUGACAGGAAUAUCAAUUAAGCAUGUCCGACAGGAUCUGCUGGUGGGAGGAGCUGCCCAUAGUGCCAGUAAGUGCCACCUUCCCUCCUCCCAGGCCUGGAAUUCGGGGUGGGGGACUCAGCUUGUGUUGAGCUUCUAAGGAUGAUUUUAGGGGAUAAAUAAUAAUGCUUUCCUCUCCACCACUCGUAUUGUCUUCAUUUUUAAGAGAGACAAUGUAUUUUAAAAAGAGCCAAGAAUAAGCGUUCAGUCGUGUCCCCAGCGGCCUUUCCCAGUCAUUGAGGGUGCUGGGUCUCCACAUGCUGCCCCAAGGGUGGGGGCACCCAGCAGGGGCCUGGGCAGUGGUUUAACAUACUGUCUACCACUGAGUUUUAAAACCCUGGCUUUGUUAUGUUUGUGUGUCCUUAAAAAAUUAGAAUCUAGCAAAUGUUUCAAAUUUAAGCCACAAGUAAAAUUUUCCUAGCCAAAAAUUACAUGGUAAAGCUGGAGAAACAGAACAGAAAGCCACUCCGGGUUCUCCUUAAGGUUUGUGCGUUUGUGUUGGGCUCGAAGGUGCUUCCAGUCCUGUGAGGCGAAGCAAGGGAGGGUGUGUGGCGUGUCCUACCCACCUGCAGUCAGAGGUGGGCCACAACCCCGGCCCUCUAGACAGACAGGGAUACCUGUACACCUUGUACAUCAAGGCAUCCCGAGAAAGGGCUCCCAGAAGGACCCAACCACCCUCAUUUCCUCUUGCCCACACCUCUGCAGAUGUGGAGACUAGGAGGCCCUGGGAAAGCUUAUUAUCCUGACCCUGCAGUCCAGGGCCUCAGCUUUGGGUCCCCGUAGACCCUAGAGUCUCCUCUGUCCUGGUACCUAAAGCCCACUUUGCCCAUUAGUCUGGGCCCCUGCGAGCCCGCCGAGGCUAUGAGGACUGGGACCCUGGCUGGCUCACUUUGUGUCUCCAACCUAGUGCUUCCCACGUAGAGUCCGACAAACACCUGUUUCUUCUGUUCUUCAUAAAUUUCAUGUUUUCUCUCGUCUCAGCUGCCACCUCGGAUCUGACUUUCACUGUGUGUGUGCACGCGCGUGUGCAUGUGGGGAGGGCAGAAUGCACACAUGAACUGGCUCUUUCUCACACACAGCAAUCCUGCGCUGCCUCAGACGUCUUGUAGUCUAGUUUCCUAAAGUUCCCACGUGCAGUGGCUUUCCCCCAUGCUCACUGACGUCACCACCGCCCACCCCACCACCUGCCACACUUAACUCGAUGUCAGCAUCCCUGCCCAUCCUUCACCUGCCCGGGCCACACCUGUGAAGCCCAGCUCAGAACCCAUUCCUCUUCGAACCCCACGCCUCCACCACCCCCAGCCAGCUCCAUGCCCAUCCAGCCCUGAAUGACUGGAGCGCUGUCCUCUGUGUGCACUCUGAAGUACUUACCCAUUCUGUAUGUGAGAGGUCAUUCCACACUUACAUUGUAUGGUCACGUGCAGGCACACCGCAUCAUCUGGUGUCUGGCCCAGUGCUGGGCUCUGAGGAGGCGAUCAGGGAAUGCCUGCUGUUUGGUUUUGAUGUUUCUGUCUUCAUUGUGCUAAGUCCUUUCGGUCGUGACUGACCCUUUGCAACCCUAUGGACUACAGCCCGCCAGGCUCCUCUGUCCAUGGGAUUCUCCAGGCAAGAAUACUGGAGUGGGUUGCCAUUGCCUUCCCCAGGGGCUGUCUUUGCCAGUAGUACUGAGGAGUGACUUCCGGCCCUGGAGCACUGCUGUUGUCAGUCCCUCCACGGAAGACGUGAUUGUCCCAGCCCCUCCCUUGGACGUGGUCCCAAGUUGGCCCCACACAUGCUGUCUUCCUUUGGGGCCCUCGCUGUGUCAUCAUCUCUUUGUUUACUUACAUUGGACUUACCUGCCAUAUUUGCUCUUGUGUCCUCUGAGCCUCAUUCACCUCCUGGUACAUUGUCAUCUUGGUGAAACUGUGACGCAUGACUAGAUGGAUGGACGUAGUUAGAAGAUUCCCAUCCCAGUUUCGGAUUGUACGUCUCUUCUCUUCCCUGACUGUUGACUCCUUGUCAACAUCCCUUGGCUUAUGUGCUACCCUUUCCCUCCAGAGAAGCCCCCGAUCCACAGCCUCUAUGUACUGAUGUCCAAUCUGAUUUCAUUGUUUCACGCCAACUCUAACAUAUUGAUCAUAACGCCUUAGGCAGUGUUAUCCAGAAUACAUGAGCCAUCUCACAGGGAGGGGAAUGUGGGCGUGAUGGGGUGGUUGACAUUUGAAGAGCUGUGUACCUACCAUGUGUCUUAUUUGAGUAAGCUAUAUUUACACAACUCUGAGAAUUAAUAGCAUUUCUACUUUAUAAAUGAGGGAACUAGGCUGCCCCAGUGACUCAGAUGGUAAAGAAUCCGCCUGCAGUGCAGGAGACCUGGGUUCAGUCACUGAGUUGGGAAGCUCCCCUGGAGGACAGCAUGGCAAUCCCAGUAUUCUCGCCUGGAGAACUCCAUAGACAGGAGCCUGGCGGGCUACAGUGCAUGGGGUCUCAAAGAGUCAGACACAACCAAGCAACUAAGCACACAGCACAAGGCUUAAACGGGUUAAACAGCUUGUCCAAGCUGCGUAACAAGUGUCAGUGGGAAAACCUGAAUCCUGGUGUUUUUGAUCUCCAAGCUUAUAUUUUUGUCUCUCUGUUCCCAGUUUAAAUGGACCAUUAAAUGGGAGGUUGCUUAAUGGCACUUGAGAUGGAAAAGGCAGUACAGAAGUACUCACUCAAGAUGAACUAAUGCUCACGAGGAAAGGCCAAGACAAGGAAAAGAUACUGGUAGACUGAUUCUGGGAAGGGAUUGACCAGGACCAGCUUCUAACACCUUAAAGGUUCAAGAGAAUGACCUAAGAAGACCACCUUUGGGGGCUUCUGUGGCAGAGGCAUGUCAGUGGAAAGUGUAGGCUGGCCCCGGACUGCUCCCCGCCCCCCAUUCUAGGAAAGCAGCAGGAAUCCGAGUGAAGUAUGCUGUCCCCUUGGUGAUGGGCUGGGGACCAGCCGCAGCCUUGUGCUGAGAUGAGAGCAGCUGGUAGGAGGCACUGUCCUCCUGUGCUCAUGGGAGGCAGAGGGUGGAGAUGUCAAUGGAAAUGCCUCUGGCACACUUAUAUCCUCAUGGUUGAAAACCCUGGCAGCAACUUACAUACUCUUCUUGACCAAAUUCUUUUCGUGCUCUGGUGUCCCUACCUGCAGUUGAUGCCCACACGUCUAAGGAGGCUGCAGGCACAGGGCACAGAGUGCUCCCAUGGUCCUCAGAGGAGUGACCACCAGGGUGGGAGAAGCAUCCGCAGAAUGAGGCUUUAUCUCCAGCUCUUGCAGGAAGAGGUUAGCUGAAGUGCUUCCCAGCACCUAAAAUGAACUACUCAAAAUACUUUUCCCAGAUACUGGAAAGCCCCCAGUUAACAGUCUGAUUGCACAUCUCUGUUAACCAUCUCAAAGGGAAAGAGCUCCUCUCCGACUUGGGUCCUGUCCUCGUGUUUAUGAGUAGGCGAUUUCGGAAGCCGCCAUCACACAUGGUAUUUAACUAUCCCAGAAACGUGUGUGACUCCGUGGUGGCUGGAAUUUUGUGUUCACUCUGAUAAAUCUUCCCACGUGUUCUCCAUUUGCUUGCCUUUUUAGAUUGUAAGCACAACAGAAAAUAUCUCUAUGUUUCACCUAAAAUAUCUCUGUAAUUCAUCUAUAUCUCUAUGAAUACAUCUAUUGCUUUUUCUCAGCUGUUUCUCUUACUGUCAAGAUGCUCUUGGACUCAACCCCGACUCUGAAGGCCCUUCCUGGCAUAGUGUGUCCCUGUGCUGAGGGCACCAUGAGGCACCCAAGCACUGUCCCUCCCCCUCAGAAGCACUGGGCCGAAAGGCUGCUCCCGGGAACCAGGUUCUGACGUGUCCUCUGAUGAGCCAGCUGCUCUCUGCCUCCACUAUGUUGACAUUCCUCCUGCAAAGGGUUGUAGCCAUUAACUUAAGACAUUUCACUAGGCGGUCACUUGCCAAGACAGACUUUCCGGCAUGGCACUGCUGAGUCACUCAGCCUCCCACUGGCUGAAACGUGAAGGCUUGAGAGCCAGGUCCUCCCUAGGUGAACUCUCCUGGAAGCUGCUCUGAAGCCCCCGGGGGAGUCCGGCAGGUCCCACGUGCAGACUCAAGCCUUACCUCAAACCACCAGAUUUUAGGAACCUGGGCUCCCACUCCUCCUGUGAUGUGGUGAAAGAUGCAUUCCACCCCUCAAGUUAGAUCCCAAAGGGGACAGUGUCCCUGGAACCUGAUCUGGGUUGUCCGCCUGCUUCCGAAGCAGGGAAGAGGUCAAAUGUGCAGACCCGUGCUGCCCUCUGCUGGCCCUCUGGAGUCUGUGCCGCUGCAGCCCACAGUGGCAGAAACCAGUUCUGAAAACAUUAAUAGGAGCCUUCUGUGCAGGCUGCUUUCUUGCCCUUCUUGAUUAGAGGUAGAGGGUCACUACAGUGUUUUAGUUCAUAAGACGUCUACCUGAACGCACCUUGAUGGGCAGCAAAAUGCACAGCCCUGUGUCUGCGGACAGUCUCCUUAGCAGCAGCCGCACCACCUCCACAGAGAGAGGAGGUGUGUACCACUUGGUGGACAGAACCCUCUCAAACUGUGUGUCUUAAUUAAGCAGGAUGCAGAAGGUGCUCCUUACUCCCCUUCUCAAAAACUCAUCUCUGAGUAAGAAGAGAAAACGCCUGACUUUGUUCCUCUGUGGCUCUGGGAUGUUCCCUAAGGGCUCAUACUGUCAUUUAAAUUCUAGGUGCUGAUCUUCUGAACAAACGCUCCCUGAGGAUUUCUGUGCCUGGAACUUCUCCGUCAACAGACUGCUGUGACACCUAACGUAAGUAGAGGCUCUUGGUCCUAAAUCAGUCUCAAGGGAGCUUUGUUCUGUUUUGAUCCUGGAGGAUCCCCCCAGUAAAAUUCUUUAAAUGGUCAUCAGUGUUCCUUCUCUGUUUCUUUUCUCGGAAACACUCAACUUCCGAUUUACUAUCAGAAAAAGUCUAUGACAUGAACUCCUGCUUAGAAGCAAGGGUAUGGGAUCUCAUAUUCAGGUAUUAGAAUGGGAAGAGGAGGAGGCAGAAAAUAUUAAAGCUGCUCACUCCAGGCAGUUCCGUUGGAGAUGCCAUUCGUAGGUCCAAGGGCAUCUUUUCAGGGUUUAGUACUCACCAGACUCCUGUGCGAAGUGACUGUGGAAACGUGCCCCAUACAGCUCAGGGGUGAGCCCCCGUGAUGUGGGGGCCCUUCUGUUUGGCAGCCGUGGCUGAUCUCAUAGCCACAUCUCCGCUUAUAACAUGCAAAACGAAAACCUGUCUCUUGUUUGUAUCAUCGUCACCAUCACUUACUGAAUGUAUACACGUGCUGUUUCUAAUUCUGCUCGCUUCUCGUCGGUCUUCACCCUCACAUCAGCCUUCGUGGUGUGGGUCCUCGUAUUACACAGGUGUGACUCCCAGAUGGGGAGACCGAGGCAUGGAGAGUCAAGUAACAUCCCCCAGGUUGUACAGGGAGCAAGUUUCGGCUCCACAAGUCUGCGUUGGGCUAGCACACCAAAUGCCCCACAGAAACAGGCAGCUUUGGAGGACGAGCAGUGGGGCUGUAUCUGGAGACAGUUUUAGCACUGCCACAAUCCCCUGUGGGAAGGGGCUACUGGACUUAAAAAAGCCUGGAGCUUCCUUAAGAUUAGUGGGAGAACAAAGCUUUAGAGAAGACCUAACUUAAGUUUAAGGUCACGCUGCAAGUCAGUGUAGCUGAGGGCCCUGGGCCAAACCCUACCGAUUUCCGAGUUUUCGCCUUCCUCUUGGUCAUUAAGUGCCACUUACUCUGCUAAUAGUGACCAAAGCUGGUUUCAGUGAUUUUCGUAUGUGCUUAUUGGUGAAACCCUGUAGCUCAGAGCCAGUUUGUUCAGAGAUCCACAUGGCCAUGUGAAGAUUGGCUGUUACAGUAUCCGAGCAGCAAAGAAGGAUGACUAAAAGCCUGGGCCUGGAAUCAAGCAAAGUGGUCUGAUCCCUCGUCUUGUUAGUCCUAAGCUUUUUGACCAGAGCAAGUCCUGCACCCUCACUAAAUCUCUGUUCCUGCACCUGGAAACUGGAAAUAAUUCCACAGCCUUGUAGGCGGAUGAACAUGAGAAAACGCAUAAAAAGCACGUAGCACAGUGUUUGGCCCAGAGUAAGUCUUCCAAAAGUGGAAGCUAUUACUCAGAGAACCUUUGCGUCCACUUUUGGUUCAUGUUGGCCUUCCCCCUACAAGGCACUGCAGUGUUCCAACCCAUCUAAGAAAACAACAUUUGAGUGCAGUGCUUUAAAAAUUACAGAUGUUUCCUCAUACUGAAAUCCCGAUGCCUCUAAGAACCACUGUAGGACAGGAAUCUGUAACUCCAUUCUCUAGAUCGGCAUAAGAAGGCUCAGCAAAAUUAAAUGAUGGCCCAAGAUUCCACAGCUAGUUGAUAGCCCAGCGCCAGAUCCUGAGACUCUUAUUCAUCCACUUUCUGUAAGAAAAUACUCAUUAAAGGCACGUAAGUCAAUAGAGAACCACCUCCCACCAUAGGAUCCAGCAGCUUCCAACCGAUAAGAGAGUUGUAUCUUUAGUUCUAAAUAUUCAGGCUAGGACUCUCAUAUCCUGAUGUCUGUUAACAUUUUGAAGCUACCUUCUCAAAGUGUCAUAGUCAGAUACCAUCUCCUUUUGCAAUCCUCAGGCCCCAAGGGACAUUAUCUUAAUCUGGUUAGCUCGUGCAAGAACCAACUGGCUUUUCACUUCAAGGAAGACAACAUGUUUCCGCUGUUCUGCUUUUGCCACACAGGAGUUACCGGUGUGGCUCACUGAUUCACAUUUCUGGCUCUAACUUUCCUAUCAUCUGGAAGAAAAAAUACAGAGAAGGGCAACUUGUUCAAAAACAGCAUGAAGCCAGCCUGCCCACAGACCUCUUCGAAGAAAACCAACCUCUUGCUUUAGAAGAUUAUACACAGAGGCCCAACUCAAGAUCUCUAGUUCACAGUAUUUUGGCUUAAGUCAUUUUACAGUCACCAACUAAGUACCUCGGUUUGCUGCUUAUUACAAAAUUCAGAGAAGUAUACUACAUGACUGAUCCCUGUGCCGAUUACCCUGUGUCUGCUGGGAAUGCCUCCUCAUGUGGAGGGAUAUACAUGGGAAAGGAUAUAUCCACCUUUGUUUUUCUGCUGAAUUUUUUAAAAAAUAUACUUAAAGGAUAACACAAAACUUACCUUAUCUCUUUGUUUCUGCUAAGGGAACAGAAGAGAGUGGUUUGUAAUAUAGUAUGUGUUAUGUAUGUGCAUGAAGUGCCUGGGUGGGUUUGACAUAUAUUUGAUGUACAAGGUGUAUGUGAUUUUAUUAGGCGUAAGUAACAAGGAGCAAUUCACUCUUCACUUUUCUUCAGGAAAACGUUUUCUCCAUAACUGAAGUGUCAGUCAUUUGAAAACAAAACAAAACUUCUCAUUGGCAGUAGGCAAAAGCUGUAACUAGUCACUUGUAAAACAUAAGCAGACCUUUUUGUUCUGGAUUUUGGUUUGUUUUUUUUUUAACCAAAAAUGAUGAGAACAGUCUGGCUGCAUCUUGCAUAUUUCAGUCACUGUUAUUAUCAAUUACAAUAGGAUAUCCAGAAGGAACAAAAUUAGUGACAUAGUUAUUUGAGAAUGCCAGUGAUUACAUGUGUCUUGGCUCUUUUGCGGGUUUAAAUGCUUGAAUUGACUCUCCAGUUGAAAUAUUUAACUGCCUGUCACUUCACAAAAUAUGCGCAUUCCUUUGCAGUAACUUUGAUGAAAUGAUUGCUACCCAGCUCUGCAGCCCAAUAGUAUUCUAUUUCCUUAUUUAAAGAGAUGAGAAAACUAGCCUAGUAGCAGUAGGCACAUACACGCAGCUUUUCCACUGUAAAGAUGAGUCUGUGUUUCGAUCUCCUGAUGAAGGGGUCAGUGGCCAAGCCUGUCAAGGAUGAGAAUGUGAGCUGAACUCCCUGCCCUGCUUUAUUAACAUCCUGCUGAGCCCACCUGGAAUCCUCAACCACAGGCACCUUUAAUUGGAUGUUCUUCCCAUUCACUUGAUGUAUGAGGCUAGUCAAGAAGAGCUAAGUUUCUGUUAAUUAAUCUUUAAGCAAAGAGAGCAGAGUUGAGUGAGUGGUACAGCCAAGAUUCAAACCCAUUCUCACAAGAUGAUGCUGACAUGAGAAAAGCAAAAAAGGACAGGGAAAUGUUUUAAGUUAAAAGAAACCAAAGAGUCUUGGUGAGUGAACCUUGAUGGGAUUUGGGGUAGAAAACAACCCAACAAAUCCGUAAAAGAAAAAUUUUUGGAGAAAGUGGGGAAAAUUGGAUAUAGGCUAGACGUUAGAUGAUACUAAGGAAUUGUUAAUUUUCUUCGGUAUGAAUAAAAUAUCAUAACUAUAUGGAAGAAUGGCCCCAUUUUUCUUUAGACCUGCUCAAAAAGUUAGGAGCACAAUGUCACAAUGGUUGCUGAUUCACUUUCAAAUGAUUCAGCAAAAAGUAUACAUAUGUUGUACAUGUAGAUAACAUCACUAAAGCAAAAGUAGUCAAAGUGAACAAUUACUGAAUUUAGGUGGAAGAAAUUUAGGAAUUCGUUCAUUGUCCUUCAAAUGUAACGUGUGUCUGAAAGUUUUCAUAACAGUUUUAAAAAAAGAACGGCACAUCUGUAUCUUCUUGGAUCCCUGGAACCCUAAAGGGAGUGGCAGUAAGCUUCCUAAUAAAUGAUAUCAAGAACGAUAAUGGGAAGGAGAAAAGAACUGCAGCAAAAAAUAAUUUAAGGAGAACCAGGGGUGCAGUGAACAGAGGGGAGCAUAACCUUAAGUAAAGCCAACAGGAAUCCUUAACAAACAGAUGCGAUCUAAGGAAUUCCAUUCUGAAAAAAAACAUUUGGCUCUCAUUAGGGGUCGAAUGGAGUCAGACACGACUGAGCGACUUCACUUUCACUUUUCAGUUUCACGCAUUGGAGAAGGAAAUGGCAAC
Long non-coding RNA from Bos taurus (domestic cattle), 15539 nucleotides. NCBI's taxonomy places the organism in Eukaryota, Metazoa, Chordata, Mammalia, Artiodactyla, Bovidae. The record is from Ensembl.